Molecule: ribosomal RNA, 530 nt
Filed under: Fusarium proliferatum
Lineage: Eukaryota; Fungi; Ascomycota; Sordariomycetes; Hypocreales; Nectriaceae
Description: SSU rRNA
Rfam family: Bacterial small subunit ribosomal RNA
Source: RNAcentral
UUAUACCACCAUAGGACUGGCCGUCCCCAUAUGAAAAGAUUAUAUUAGAAUUGAAUGAAGCUUUGUUUAUAUAUUGAUAAUGACAGUAUAUAUAUCGUGUCUUGACUAAUUGCGUGCCAGCAGUCGCGGUAAUACGUAAGAGACUAGUGUUAUUCAUCUUAAUUAGGUUUAAAGGGUACCCAGACGGUCAAUAUAGCUUAUAAAAUGUUAGUACUUGACUAGAGUUUUAUGUAAGAGGGCAGUACUUGAGGAGGAGAGAUGAAAUUUCGUGAUACCAAAGGGACUCUGUAAAGGCGAAGGCAGCCCUCUAUGUAAAAACUGACGUUGAAGGACGAAGGCACAGAGAACAAACAGGAUUAGAUACCCAAGUAGUCUUUGCAGUAAAUGAUGAAUGCCAUAGGUUAGAUGGGUGGGUAGUUGUAGUCGAGUUAAUUUAGCAAACUAAUGAUCUAGACUAGCCCACCAUACAUUUGGUCUAUAAAUGAAAGUGUAAGCAUUUCACCUCAAGAGUAAUGUGGCAACGCAGGAAC